GGUCCUGUAGCUCAGCGGUUAGAGCAGGGGACUCAUAAUCCCUUGGUUGGGGGUUCGAAUCCCUCCGGGACUA
This 73-nucleotide transfer RNA is filed under the name Planctomycetia bacterium. RNAcentral describes it as "tRNA-Ile". It matches the Rfam family "tRNA". From Rfam's summary of the family: Transfer RNA (tRNA) molecules are approximately 80 nucleotides in length. Their secondary structure includes four short double-helical elements and three loops (D, anti-codon, and T loops). Lineage: Bacteria; Pseudomonadati; Planctomycetota; Planctomycetia. The record is from RNAcentral.